AUUGAACGCUGGCGGCAGGCUUAACACAUGCAAGUCGAGCGGAGCGAGGGUGCUUGCACCUUAGCUUAGCGGCGGACGGGUGAGUAAUGCUUAGGAAUCUGCCUAUUAGUGGGGGACAACAUUCCGAAAGGGAUGCUAAUACCGCAUACGCCCUACGGGGGAAAGCAGGGGAUCACUUGUGACCUUGCGCUAAUAGAUGAGCCUAAGUCGGAUUAGCUAGUUGGUGGGGUAAAGGCCUACCAAGGCGACGAUCUGUAGCGGGUCUGAGAGGAUGAUCCGCCACACUGGGACUGAGACACGGCCCAGACUCCUACGGGAGGCAGCAGUGGGGAAUAUUGGACAAUGGGGGGAACCCUGAUCCAGCCAUGCCGCGUGUGUGAAGAAGGCCUUUUGGUUGUAAAGCACUUUAAGCGAGGAGGAGGCGCUCUAGGAUAAUACCCUAGAUGCGUGGACGUACUCGCAGAAUAAGCCC
RNAcentral lists this ribosomal RNA (472 nucleotides) under Acinetobacter sp. oral taxon C51. RNAcentral describes it as "bacterial SSU rRNA". It matches the Rfam family "Bacterial small subunit ribosomal RNA", at positions 30 to 493 of the family's 1533-position model. Lineage: Bacteria; Pseudomonadati; Pseudomonadota; Gammaproteobacteria; Moraxellales; Moraxellaceae. The record is from RNAcentral.